GAUGAACGCUGGCGGCGUGCCUAAUACAUGCAAGUCGAGCGAACGGACGAGAAGCUUGCUUCUCUGAUGUUAGCGGCGGACGGGUGAGUAACACGUGGAUAACCUACCUAUAAGACUGGGAUAACUUCGGGAAACAGGAGCUAAUACCGGAUAAUAUUUUGAACCGCAUGGUUCAAAAGUGAAAGACGGUCUUGCUGUCACUUAUAGCUGGAUCCGCGCUGCAUUAGCUAGUUGGUAAGGUAACGGCUUACCAAGGCAACGAUGCAUAGCCGACCUGAGAGGGUGAUCGGCCACACUGGAACUGAGACACGGUCCAGACUCCUACGGGAGGCAGCAGUAGGGAAUCUUCCGCAAUGGGCGAAAGCCUGACGGAGCAACGCCGCGUGAGUGAUGAAGGUCUUCGGAUCGUAAAACUCUGUUAUUAGGGAAGAACAUAUGUGUAAGUAACUGUGCACAUCUUGACGGUACCUAAUCAGAAAGCCACGGCUAACUACGUG
Molecule: ribosomal RNA, 497 nt
Filed under: uncultured bacterium
Lineage: Bacteria
Description: partial 16S ribosomal RNA
Rfam family: Bacterial small subunit ribosomal RNA
Source: RNAcentral